CUUUUAUUCCAUCGUAGGUGAAAGCGGGAUCAAUUGUACAAAUUCAGCUCACUUUCCUCCGAUUUCGGGAUUUAUUCUUUAUAUGGUUAAAUCUUACUAGUUAUUAUUUUCCUUCACCAUGUACAAAAGUAGCUCCCAAGUAUAUGGCAAGUACACUUGUAGAUCUGCAUUGGACACUUUGGUGUAAAGUAAAUAUCUUCUGAAGCAGGUGAUAUUCUCUGCUUUUAGUAACGGUUUUAGUUGCGUCAAAACUUAAAUUAAUUAUCUCGUGUUGCUUUUAAUUUUUGUUCAGCAAUUUCUAUGAAGUUUAUUUUCCUUAAAGUUUCAGCCUUAAUUACCUGUAAUUCGCCCAACCUCUUCAAGCGUGGCUCGGUACUUAUGCAUCCCGCUAGAUUAUUGUUGUAUUUUGGUUUUUUUUUCGUUUUAUCUUACGUGCUUUGUCUAUUUAUCAGAAUUGGGUUUCUGGGUUAAUGGACUGUUGCUUGACUGUUGUUAUUGAACUUAACCAACAGCACACCUUACGGACUUAGCGGGAUGAGUAAUGACCU
Molecule: long non-coding RNA, 548 nt
Filed under: Mytilus galloprovincialis (Mediterranean mussel)
Lineage: Eukaryota; Metazoa; Mollusca; Bivalvia; Mytilida; Mytilidae
Source: RNAcentral